CUACGGGGUGCUGCAGUGGGGAAUCUUAGACAAUGGGGGAAACCCUGAUCUAGCCAUGCCGCGUGAGCGACGACGGCCCUAGGGUUGUAAAGCUCUUUCAGCAGGGAAGAUAAUGACGGUACCUGCAGAAGAAGUCCCGGCUAACUCCGUGCCAGCAGCCGCGGCAAUACGGAGGGGACUAGCGUUGUUCGGAAUUACUGGGCGUAAAGCGCGCGUAGGCGGAUUGUUAAGUCGGGGGUGAAAUCCCGGGGCUCAACCCCGGAACUGCCCUCGAUACUGGCAGUCUUGAGUUCGAGAGAGGUGAGUGGAAUUCCGAGUGUAGAGGUGAAAUUCGUAGAUAUUCGGAGGAACACCAGUGGCGAAGGCGGCUCACUGGCUCGAUACUGACGCUGAGGUGCGAAAGCGUGGGGAGCAAACAGGAUUAGAUACCCGUGUAGUC
This 439-nucleotide ribosomal RNA is filed under the name uncultured bacterium. Its description in RNAcentral is "partial 16S ribosomal RNA". It matches the Rfam family "Bacterial small subunit ribosomal RNA", at positions 339 to 795 of the family's 1533-position model. The record is from RNAcentral.